RNAcentral lists this ribosomal RNA (372 nucleotides) under uncultured eukaryote. RNAcentral's name for it is "partial 18S ribosomal RNA". It matches the Rfam family "Eukaryotic small subunit ribosomal RNA", at positions 592 to 976 of the family's 1831-position model. The record is from RNAcentral.
CAAUAGCGUAUAUUAAAGUUGUUGCGGUUAAAAAGCUCGUAGUUGGAUUUCUGGGAGGGUGCCGCCGUCCGGCGUGUCCGUGUGCAGUGGCGCCCUUCCAUCCUUCUGUUAGCGUCUCUUGGCAUUCAUUUGCUGGUGGCGGGCUCAGAUAUUUUACCUUGAGAAAAUUAGAGUGUUUCAGGCAGGCUAGGCCGGAAUACAUUAGCAUGGAAUAAUGGAAUAGGACUACGGUCUCUUUGUUGGUUUGAGGGACUGCAGUAAUGAUUAAUAGGGAUAGUUGGGGGCAUUAGUAUUUAAUUGUCAGAGGUGGAAUUCUCAGAUUUGUUAAAGACUAACUUAUGCGAAAGCAUUUGCCAAGGAUGUUUNCAUUAA